This 1726-nucleotide long non-coding RNA is filed under the name Homo sapiens (human). Its description in RNAcentral is "HSALNT0312767". The record is from RNAcentral. Lineage: Eukaryota; Metazoa; Chordata; Mammalia; Primates; Hominidae.
AUAAUUAUGUGAAUACGUUUUUAAUGCAGACAAAACUGCUCUAUUCAGGGUAAGGAGAGCCUCCAAGGACAUUUAAUUAGUAAGGAAGUAGGCACCAGAGUUUAGGCAGGAAAGUAUAGGCUAACUCUACUGUUUUGUGAAAACACAGUCAGGCUUCCGACGAGGACUGCCCUUAUCCGUAAAACAGCUAAUCCCCUAAACCCCAAGCCUUGAAGAAAAAGAUAAAUACCAUCUGCUAGUCUUUUGCUUAUACAACAAGAAGGCCUCAAGAGGAGAACCCUUUUUCUGGAUUGGUUCUAUUGAUCCUUUGUUACCUUGACAGUAACAGACUGCCUUUUAAAGUUCUUUUGAUAUUGGACACUGCCCCUGACCACCCAGAACUCUAUGAGUUCAACAGUGAAGUCAUAGAAGUGGUCUACUUGCCUCUAAACACAGCAUCUGUAAUUCAGCCUCUAGGUCAAGAAUCAUAAGGACCUUUAAGGCUCAUUAUGCACAGUACUCUAUGGAAAAAAAUUGUCAAUCUAUUAAUAUGUCACCAAACCCCAAAAGAGAAAAUAUCAUGAAAAUCUGGAAGGAUUACACCAUUGAAGAUGCUGCUGUUGUUACAGAAAAAUCCAUAAAAGCCAUCAAGACUGAAACAAUAAAUUUCUGCUGGGAAAAAAACAACACAAAACUGUGUCCAGAUGCUGUGUAUGAUCUCACAGGAUUUAUAACAGAACCAAUCAAGGAAAUAAUGAAAGAGACUGUGGAUAUGGCAAAAUUAAAAAGUAAGGGAUGAAGGCUUUCAAAAUAUACAUCUUAGAGAAAUUCAAAAGCUAAUAGACACCAAACCACAAUAGAGGAAUUCACAGAAGAUGAUUUGAUGGAGAUGAGUGUUUACAAUCCAGUGCCAGAUGGUGAAGAAAAAGACGAAGAAGAAACAGCGCCAGAAAAUAAACUGACAUUAGGCAAUCUGUCAAAAGAGUUAUGUUGAAGACCGCUUUUGACUUCUUUUAUGACAUGGACCUUUCUACGAUAUGGGCACUGAAACUAAAGCAAAUGGUGGAAGAAGGUUUGGUUCCAUGUAGAAAUAUUUUUAGAGAACUGAAAAAGCAAAAUGAUAGGAAUUAUGAUGUUUCUGUAAAGUUACACCAAGUGUGCCUGCCUCUCCUGCCUCCUCUCUCAACUGUUACACAUUUUCCAUCUCUGUCACCCCUGAGAUAUCAAGACUAACCCCUCCUCUUUCUCCUCCUUCUUAGCCUACUCAAUGGGGAAACCAUGAGGAUGAAGACUUUUAUAAUGAUUCAUUUCCACUUCAUAAACAAGAAUACAGAGGCCUGAGAAGAGGAUGGGAGAUGGGGGAACAGCCAGCCGGUGGAGCAGUCAGAACACAUAAAGCAAUUGUUGAUUAAGUGUGCCAUCUUACACAAGUAUGGUUCAUGAAGCCCUAAAAGAAUUUUAAAAGUCACGUCGAAGAUCACUGACCACAGAUUAUCAUAACAGAUAUCAUAAUAAUGAAAAGUUUGAAGCAUUAUAAGAAUUACCAACACAUGACACAUGGAAAAAAAGUGACCACAUACUGUUGGGAAAAUGGUGCCAAUAGACUUUCUUAAUUCAGGAUUACCACAAAUCUUCAAUUUCUAAAAAAUGCAGUAUUUGUGAAGUACAAUCAAAUGAACUACAAUAAAAUGAGGUAUGCCUGUAUCAAUAUUUUUCUAUUCUUUAUGAUCACACAUACUGAUAUCAG